AGUGAACGCUGGCGGCAGGCCUAACACAUGCAAGUCGAGCGGCAGCGCGGUGUAGCAAUACACUGGCGGCGAGCGGCGGACGGGUGAGGAAUACAUCGGAAUUUACCCAAUCGUGGGGGAUAACGUAGGGAAACUUACGCUAAUACCGCAUGAACUGGAGACAGCAAAGCGGCGGACCGAAAGGCGUCGCGCGGUUGGAUGAGCCGAUGUCGGAUUAGCAGUUGGCGGGGUAAAGGCCCACCAAGGCGACGAUCCGUAGCUGGUCUGAGAGGAUGAUCAGCCACACUGGAACUGAGACACGGUCCAGACUCCUACGGGAGCAGCAGUGGGGAAUAUUGGACAAUGGGCGCAAGCCUGAUCCAGCCAUGCCGCGUG
RNAcentral lists this ribosomal RNA (375 nucleotides) under uncultured bacterium. RNAcentral describes it as "bacterial SSU rRNA". It matches the Rfam family "Bacterial small subunit ribosomal RNA", at positions 30 to 403 of the family's 1533-position model. The record is from RNAcentral.